ACCUACCACACGCAUGCUCCGUGGCUCCCGUGUGCCAUGCACACUCAUCUGGUGACUGGCCGCCACGUUUUGCCGGCC
Molecule: small RNA, 78 nt
Filed under: Xanthomonas axonopodis pv. vasculorum
Lineage: Bacteria; Pseudomonadati; Pseudomonadota; Gammaproteobacteria; Lysobacterales; Lysobacteraceae
Description: sX9 sRNA
Rfam family: Xanthomonas sRNA sX9
Source: RNAcentral